RNAcentral lists this ribosomal RNA (490 nucleotides) under uncultured bacterium. RNAcentral's name for it is "partial 16S ribosomal RNA". It matches the Rfam family "Bacterial small subunit ribosomal RNA", at positions 30 to 507 of the family's 1533-position model. The record is from RNAcentral.
AUUGAACGCUGGCGGCAGGCCUAACACAUGCAAGUCGAACGGUAACAGGAAGCAGCUUGCUGCUUCGCUGACGAGUGGCGGACGGGUGAGUAAUGUCUGGGAAGCUGCCUGAUGGAGGGGGAUAACUACUGGAAACGGUAGCUAAUACCGCAUAAUGUCGCAAGACCAAAGAGGGGGACCUUCGGGCCUCUUGCCAUCGGAUGUGCCCAGAUGGGAUUAGCUUGUUGGUGGGGUAACGGCUCACCAAGGCGACGAUCCCUAGCCGGUCUGAGAGGAUGACCAGCCACACUGGAACUGAGACACGGUCCAGACUCCUACGGGAGGCAGCAGUGGGGAAUAUUGCACAAUGGGCGCAAGCCUGAUGCAGCCAUGCCGCGUGUAUGAAGAAGGCCUUCGGGUUGUAAAGUACUUUCAGCGGGGAGGAAGGGAGUAAAGUUAAUACCUUUGCUCAUUGACGUUACCCGCAGAAGAAGCACCGGCUAACUCCGUG